GGGAGAGCGGCCAAGUUAACACUGGGACCAGGAACCUCAGAGAAACCAGAAUGAGAGCGAGCAUCUCCCUCUAGGGCUGUGAGGUGGUCAGAACCUGGCAUCACGCAGGAUGGCUUCAAAAAGUGCCCCUGCUGAGACGGCUUGGAACUGACCACAGGCUCUUGGUCUGGCAGGGCAGGGAUGAGCGUGGUGUCUCAUGGACCCCAGAUAGCAGCAGCCCCUCAUGGCAGGUGUGGGUUAAAUAUCCCAGAGUCGAAGCUGGAGCCUUUGCAGUGGGAGGCGGCUGCCCACGGCUCUAAGCACCCAGAGGAGUCUCGUCCACAGAGAAGGGAGCCCGCGCUCACUCACCAUGCAGCCUGAGCGCACACCACCGGCAGCGCACUCGCUCCCACAACAGGAGGGACUCGCGACGGAGGAAGGCACCCCGGCACAGGGAACAGCACGGGGAACAGCGCCGUCUCGAGGGUUUGGAAGGCAGCUUCUCCUUAUUUUGGCCACAGUGCAGAUUCUGCUGGUUCAUCACGUAACAUUUCAGCAAGAGGCUCAGCUGCUACAGAAAAGCAACUUCCCAAAUUGGCAGCUGUUUACCAAAAUUGGGUUGCUGACCCCAGUACAUAGCUCUGCUCCUGCCACCCGACUACGCUUCCUCUGCUUGGACUUGACCUCCCGGGAGCAAGGCUGGCACAACAGUGAGGGCACCACCAGUGUGGAGUCCCUGGAGCCAUGCCCUCAGAUUGGAAAAAGCCUCAGGGAACGGCUGGCGACAGUGGACGGAGUCUCUCCUGGCUUCUUGGUCCUGCACCUCUGCGUCUCCCAGUUCCCCUGCAGUGAAAAGGCCUUGAGAGCUGUUGUGGGCAGUCCCUCCUGCUGGUUGUCAGGCACGAGGAGCAGCCCGAGUUCUUGCAGGAGGCAGGAACAGCCUUUGAAGUGGGAGAGCUGACGACAGCGUUUCAGGUCCCCCAGUUUUCUACCAUUAAAGCCACUGGCAAAUCAGCCCAUGGUUGUGGAUUGAAGUUUUAUUGCAAAAUAAUUGACACCUGUCACUGUGUAAGUUGAAGGCACCAAGCAUGAUGAUUUUAUUUACGUACAUCGUGAAAUGAUUCCCACAGUAGAUUCAACCAACAUCCAUCAUCUCAUGCAGACACAAUAAGAAGAGAAGAAAGAAAAAAGAAGAAAGGAAAAUAUUUUUCUCCUUUGAUGAGGACUCUUAGGAUCCACUCGUCGAGCUUUCCCGUGUGUCGCACAGCAGCGCUGACCUGGGUCGUCGUGUGGCACAUUCCGACCCGGGACGUAGUGUCUGUAACAGGAAGUCUGUACCUUUGCCCACCUGCCUCCACGUCCCUCCCCACCCUCUGCUCUGGUGACCACAAGUCGGAUCUCUUUCUCUAUGAGUUUCGUUGGUUUUUUUAGAUCCCAUCUGUGAGUGAGGUCAUACGGUAUUUGUCUUUCUCUCUGUAUUUCUUUCUAAAUCAAAUCCUAUCUCCUUUUAUCUUUCAGAGAUUUCUCUAAUAUUUGCUGAUCACAUUCUUUUUCAUUUGUCAUUACAUCAUAAAUUUAUUCUUGUUUUAUUGAACCUUUCCUAUCAUUUCAAGGAUGUGGUAGUAGGAGGAGUCAAGAAUAGGCGAGCUAAGUCGGCCCUUUUAAGAUCAGAUCCAAACCACUCUGGACUUCAGGCCAAUGAGGAGUUCCCAGAUUAUUCCUUCUGAUUGGCCCAGAAUUUGUGUUGAGACUUUUAGGUUCUGAACAAGUUAAAAGUCGAUUCCUAUGAAGAAGGCUAUCAUUGCUAUCAUUGUCUUUUUUUCUUUUAACAAAUUUCAGGAUUUUAUUUAAGUUUAUUUCGAAAAUAAAUCUAUUACCCUUAUCCUCUACUCUCUGAAAAGUUUCAUAGAAUAUUAAUUAUAUGUGUCAAUCAACUUAGAAUACUUAGUUUUAUUCUCUAUAUAUUUUUCCUCACAACUCUAUAGUAGAAAAGAAAUAAAGCUUAAUAUCUUAUAUCCUUCUUGUUACUCUCUGUUACAUUUUAAGAAUCUGAUUAAUAAAAUUUCAAUACAUUCAAUUCUUUUGAUGUCUAGACCACUAGGUCUGGGAGUUGCCUGGCCCGGCCGUCGGCGCCUCCCCUCCUGAGCAUGAGCAGCUCUGACAGACGGACCAGACCUCGUCUCCUGUCCUCACUCUUCUCACAAAGACUUUUCAAGGUCAUGGUUUUGCGUGUCCCAGGACCAUGCAGGGUCAGAGUCCAGGAAGUGGUUCAAAAAGGAUGGAGGCGUUAAGAUAAAAUAUCUGUGGUUUGAAGGCCUGCUCGAGUCUAAUCUUUAGGAACAUGUAACCUCUUCACAUUUUAAAGUAACUGGGCUUUUCAUGUAUUACCCUUCAUAUGCAGUCAUGUGCCGCAUAACAUUUUGGUCAACGACAGACUGUAUUCAACGGUGGUCCCAUAAGAUUAGCACCAUAGAGCCCAGAUGUGUGGGAGUUUAUACCAUCUAGGCUCAUGUAUGUACACGCUACAAUGUACACACAAGGACAAAAUCACCUGACGAUGGGUUUCCCAGAACGUGUCCCCAUCAAGUGGCGCAUGACUGUAUUUACAUUUGUUACAUUCUUGAGAUCAUAAUUUUGUACCAUUUUGAAAAUUGUCAUUUUCAUUCUUUUACUGAACAUAUUCCAUGUUUUUAUAAAGUCCUGUAUCUGUGGGCAAUAACUAAAUAAAGG
Equus caballus (horse) is the source of this 2709-nucleotide long non-coding RNA. The record is from Ensembl. Lineage: Eukaryota; Metazoa; Chordata; Mammalia; Perissodactyla; Equidae.